CUUGACACUUGCUGAAUUUUUUUCCUAUUAACUUUUUCCCAUAAGCACGCACACUCAGCUCACACACUUAAUAAAAUUUUUACCCAUUACCUCCAAAGCUCGUCAUCACUCACCUCCAAAGCACAAAAAAAAACCCUUUUAGAGAAUAUGGAAAACCCUCACCAUCACAAAGAUAAAAAAACUAUAUGUAUCUAGGGCGAAAUGCUUUAGUGAAUUUCUUUCCAUCUUCCCCCAAAGCACAUAAGACCCAGUAAAUUUUUUCCCUUCUUCCCCCUUUUCCCCGCUAUCAUCCUUUUGCACAAAGCUAAGAGUUUAUAGCUCUGCUACGCCAUCACAUGGCUCUUCUCCUUGCACCACAUCCUCGCUCGGCUCUGCUACGCCACGCCACGCCACUACCGCGGAUCUGUUACACUGCACCGCUGCCGCAGCUCUGCUACUUCGCAACGACGCCACAACUCUCUUACGUCGCACCAUCUCCUCGCCGUGCUCUUCAGCUUUGCUCCGCGUCUCCUUUGCUAAUGGUGCUGCCUCUGUUCCGUCUAUCCCUGCUCGAUUCGCUCUCUCAUCCACGAUAGAAAGUGGUCAAAGGGAAGAUCCUUAAUUCAUCAACUUUGAAUGUUCUAUACGAAGUUGAUGGUCAUUGGGAUAGAACAAUAAAAGUGAAGGAUACAAAUAACAGGAAAGCGAGAGUGAUAUAUGAUGCAAAAGAAGUCAUUAAUGGGCUGCAAGCACCAAUUGUUAAGGAUGCAGAGGUAAC
This is a non-coding RNA of Arachis ipaensis, 757 nucleotides long. NCBI's taxonomy places the organism in Eukaryota, Viridiplantae, Streptophyta, Magnoliopsida, Fabales, Fabaceae. The record is from RefSeq and is a predicted model, not a curated record.